Tympanuchus pallidicinctus (lesser prairie-chicken) is the source of this 514-nucleotide long non-coding RNA. RefSeq lists it as uncharacterized. The record is from RefSeq and is a predicted model, not a curated record. The transcript is spliced from 2 exons. NCBI's taxonomy places the organism in Eukaryota, Metazoa, Chordata, Aves, Galliformes, Phasianidae.
UUUAAAUUACAUUUUGAAUGAAAAAGAAGGUAGAUGAUCUUUUGCCUCUUGCCUUUCUUCUCUUAGCUUUAAGCGCAUCUCACUUAUCUGUCAUUCCUGGACAGUCAGCAGAGCAGUGCUUCACCUCAAGAGUCCCACAAGCAGUGGGGGAAGCUACUAUAGAGCCUCCUGUUGGAAUGGGUCAAAAGGGGCUGCAGGAUGAUCCCACUGUGUGCUAAUAUGCAGGAGGAAUGGCUCAGACUGUGGGAAUACAACAAAAACUGUACAGACCAGCAGCUGUGGAGCAAGGUAAAUAGCAUGAGAACCAAGGACACCUCUAAAAGAAGGAGGAAGGUCUCACGGCUCUAUUGGACAAGCGCCUGCGUGAAUGGGUGAAGAGUUUUUGUAGAAUGCUCUGUUGACAUGUAAAGGUGGAUGGGAAAGUUGUAGGGGUGGAUGGGAAAGCUAGAAAAAGAAAACUUGUGAAGGUAUAUAAGUGAUGUGAGAACUUGUAAUAAAUGAUUUGGAUCGUUCA